Molecule: ribosomal RNA, 1385 nt
Filed under: Microbacterium lemovicicum
Lineage: Bacteria; Bacillati; Actinomycetota; Actinomycetes; Micrococcales; Microbacteriaceae
Description: bacterial SSU rRNA
Rfam family: Bacterial small subunit ribosomal RNA
Source: RNAcentral
GCUUGCUUGGUGGAUCAGUGGCGAACGGGUGAGUAACACGUGAGCAACCUGCCCUGGACUCUGGGAUAAGCGCUGGAAACGGCGUCUAAUACUGGAUAUGAGCUCCUUCCGCAUGGUGGGGGUUGGAAAGAUUUUUCGGUCUGGGAUGGGCUCGCGGCCUAUCAGCUUGUUGGUGAGGUAAUGGCUCACCAAGGCGUCGACGGGUAGCCGGCCUGAGAGGGUGACCGGCCACACUGGGACUGAGACACGGCCCAGACUCCUACGGGAGGCAGCAGUGGGGAAUAUUGCACAAUGGGCGGAAGCCUGAUGCAGCAACGCCGCGUGAGGGAUGACGGCCUUCGGGUUGUAAACCUCUUUUAGCAGGGAAGAAGCGAAAGUGACGGUACCUGCAGAAAAAGCGCCGGCUAACUACGUGCCAGCAGCCGCGGUAAUACGUAGGGCGCAAGCGUUAUCCGGAAUUAUUGGGCGUAAAGAGCUCGUAGGCGGUUUGUCGCGUCUGCUGUGAAAUCCCGAGGCUCAACCUCGGGCCUGCAGUGGGUACGGGCAGACUAGAGUGCGGUAGGGGAGAUUGGAAUUCCUGGUGUAGCGGUGGAAUGCGCAGAUAUCAGGAGGAACACCGAUGGCGAAGGCAGAUCUCUGGGCCGUAACUGACGCUGAGGAGCGAAAGGGUGGGGAGCAAACAGGCUUAGAUACCCUGGUAGUCCACCCCGUAAACGUUGGGAACUAGUUGUGGGGACCAUUCCACGGUUUCCGUGACGCAGCUAACGCAUUAAGUUCCCCGCCUGGGGAGUACGGCCGCAAGGCUAAAACUCAAAGGAAUUGACGGGGACCCGCACAAGCGGCGGAGCAUGCGGAUUAAUUCGAUGCAACGCGAAGAACCUUACCAAGGCUUGACAUAUACGAGAACGGGCCAGAAAUGGUCAACUCUUUGGACACUCGUAAACAGGUGGUGCAUGGUUGUCGUCAGCUCGUGUCGUGAGAUGUUGGGUUAAGUCCCGCAACGAGCGCAACCCUCGUUCUAUGUUGCCAGCACGUAAUGGUGGGAACUCAUGGGAUACUGCCGGGGUCAACUCGGAGGAAGGUGGGGAUGACGUCAAAUCAUCAUGCCCCUUAUGUCUUGGGCUUCACGCAUGCUACAAUGGCCGGUACAAAGGGCUGCAAUACCGUAAGGUGGAGCGAAUCCCAAAAAGCCGGUCCCAGUUCGGAUUGAGGUCUGCAACUCGACCUCAUGAAGUCGGAGUCGCUAGUAAUCGCAGAUCAGCAACGCUGCGGUGAAUACGUUCCCGGGUCUUGUACACACCGCCCGUCAAGUCAUGAAAGUCGGUAACACCUGAAGCCGGUGGCCCAACCCUUGUGGAGGGAGCCGUCGAAAGUGGGAUCGGUAA